RNAcentral lists this long non-coding RNA (1092 nucleotides) under Homo sapiens (human). RNAcentral describes it as "JUN divergent transcript". Lineage: Eukaryota; Metazoa; Chordata; Mammalia; Primates; Hominidae. The record is from RNAcentral.
UUUUUCCCUCCUGCCACAGUCCAGGGUAGGAGAUACUUCUCCAGGCUCUCACUUAUGGGGGCUUUCCUGCUGGCUACAUCACUGAAAUGGAAUCUCCUAGUGGCCCUUCUCCCUCUACAGCUCUGGUGUUACACUGAAAAACUAGAAGUUUCAAAACAGACAAGGGAAAAAGAGAAACAUCAGAAAGUCUGAUUAAAGUAGAAGCAUCAUAUUUCUAUCAACGUAUCCACUGUGCUUGGACUCUGUAAUAUUCACCGGCAGGAAAACCCAAGGGAAUGACUACUAUGACAUCUGAUGAACAAUGCGGGAGUUGCAGAGAGAGGUGUCCUGUGUUUGUUCCCAGUCUUCCUUCACUCACCUGCACCUGCUCCUGCCCUGCUUCGGCCAACAUGUUCUAUGCAGCUGCUCACUGAUGUCACUUAGAGGAAGGCAGGGGCACAAGAUGGGAGGACCCAGAGCUCCGGGUUCUUAAGAAAUCUUCUCCAAGGGCAACUCUGAGUGGUGAAGACAGGAUGGAGUCAGUUGACUCUAGACCUUGUCCCAGUCUACUACUUUCUACUAUGACCUCCAGCAGGGCUGGGAGCUACACAGGCCAGGGACUUUGUUUUCUUCCCCGUCUUUCCUCAGGGCCCAUCACAGAAAUGCCUUUAGGCCCUCUUCACCACCUCACAUCUGCAUCUCAACUCCAGGCAGCAGAGUUCAUAUCAAGGGCCCAUGUUUUAACUGAAUAUAAUGAAUUUUUUUUUUCACCUUGGAAGAGUCUUAGAGGCAAGAUUAGAAUGUUCAUCUAAAAGGAGUGCAAAUUUCUUCAACCAUUCCCACGGAGGAAGGUGAGCUCAGACUCACUUUCAUCUGUCCCUCUCCCCCAUGUGCUUGGCCAGGGUAAGGGACCUCAGGAGGGCCCCCCCAGUCUCCCAGACAGCUGACUCUCCCUGUGUAAAUAAUUCUAAUGCUCUCAGUUAUUCACUACUCAUCUGAGCCACCUAUUGAACUAUAAGCUUCAGAAUUAGCUUUGUACAACCCACACCCAGCACAGGGUCUGGCAUUUAUAUGUGUUCAUAAAUGCAACAAAUAAACAUUUAUUAAAAUGCA